GCAUUGGUGGUUCAGUGGUAGAAUCCUUGCCUUUCAUGCUGAAGAUUUGAUUUGAGUUUCAACCUGUGCA
This 70-nucleotide transfer RNA is filed under the name Loxodonta africana (African savanna elephant). It matches the Rfam family "tRNA". Rfam says of the family: Transfer RNA (tRNA) molecules are approximately 80 nucleotides in length. Their secondary structure includes four short double-helical elements and three loops (D, anti-codon, and T loops). The record is from Rfam by way of RNAcentral. Lineage: Eukaryota; Metazoa; Chordata; Mammalia; Proboscidea; Elephantidae.